GACGAACGCUGGCGGCGUGCUUAACACAUGCAAGUCGAACGGAAAGGCCCUGCUUGCAGGGUACUCGAGUGGCGAACGGGUGAGUAACACGUGGGUGAUCUGCCCUGCACUUCGGGAUAAGCCUGGGAAACUGGGUCUAAUACCGGAUAUGACCUUCCAUGUAGUGUGGGGGGUGGAAAGAUUUAUCGGUGUGGGAUGAGCCCGCGGCCUAUCAGCUUGUUGGUGGGGUAAAGGCCUACCAAGGCGUCGACGGGUAGCCGGCCUGAGAGGGUGGACGGCCACAUUGGGACUGAGAUACGGCCCAGACUCCUACGGGAGGCAGCAGUGGGGAAUAUUGCACAAUGGGCGGAAGCCUGAUGCAGCGACGCCGCGUGGGGGAUGACGGCCUUCGGGUUGUAAACCUCUUUCGACAGGGACGAAGCUUCGGUGACGGUACCUGUAUAAGAAGCACCGGCUAACUACGUG
This 465-nucleotide ribosomal RNA is filed under the name uncultured bacterium. Its description in RNAcentral is "partial 16S ribosomal RNA". It matches the Rfam family "Bacterial small subunit ribosomal RNA", at positions 28 to 507 of the family's 1533-position model. The record is from RNAcentral.